RNAcentral lists this ribosomal RNA (1074 nucleotides) under Staphylococcus aureus. Its description in RNAcentral is "partial 23S ribosomal RNA". It matches the Rfam family "Bacterial large subunit ribosomal RNA", at positions 1057 to 2132 of the family's 2925-position model. Lineage: Bacteria; Bacillati; Bacillota; Bacilli; Caryophanales; Staphylococcaceae. The record is from RNAcentral.
UGUUAAGUGGAAAAGGAUGUGGCGUUGCCCAGACAACUAGGAUGUUGGCUUAGAAGCAGCCAUCAUUUAAAGAGUGCGUAAUAGCUCACUAGUCGAGUGACACUGCGCCGAAAAUGUACCGGGGCUAAACAUAUUACCGAAGCUGUGGAUUGUCCUUUGGACAAUGGUAGGAGAGCGUUCUAAGGGCGUUGAAGCAUGAUCGUAAGGACAUGUGGAGCGCUUAGAAGUGAGAAUGCCGGUGUGAGUAGCGAAAGACGGGUGAGAAUCCCGUCCACCGAUUGACUAAGGUUUCCAGAGGAAGGCUCGUCCGCUCUGGGUUAGUCGGGUCCUAAGCUGAGGCCGACAGGCGUAGGCGAUGGAUAACAGGUUGAUAUUCCUGUACCACCUAUAAUCGUUUUAAUCGAUGGGGGGACGCAGUAGGAUAGGCGAAGCGUGCGAUUGGAUUGCACGUCUAAGCAGUAAGGCUGAGUAUUAGGCAAAUCCGGUACUCGUUAAGGCUGAGCUGUGAUGGGGAGGAGACAUUGUGUCUUCGAGUCGUUGAUUUCACACUGCCGAGAAAAGCCUCUAGAUAGAAAAUAGGUGCCCGUACCGCAAACCGACACAGGUAGUCAAGAUGAGAAUUCUAAGGUGAGCGAGCGAACUCUCGUUAAGGAACUCGGCAAAAUGACCCCGUAACUUCGGGAGAAGGGGUGCUCUUUAGGGUUAACGCCCAGAAGAGCCGCAGUGAAUAGGCCCAAGCGACUGUUUAUCAAAAACACAGGUCUCUGCUAAACCGUAAGGUGAUGUAUAGGGGCUGACGCCUGCCCGGUGCUGGAAGGUUAAGAGGAGUGGUUAGCUUCUGCGAAGCUACGAAUCGAAGCCCCAGUAAACGGCGGCCGUAACUAUAACGGUCCUAAGGUAGCGAAAUUCCUUGUCGGGUAAGUUCCGACCCGCACGAAAGGCGUAACGAUUUGGGCACUGUCUCAACGAGAGACUCGGUGAAAUCAUAGUACCUGUGAAGAUGCAGGUUACCCGCGACAGGACGGAAAGACCCCGUGGAGCUUUACUGUAGCCUGAUAUUGAAAUUCGGCACAG